AAAGGCCCAACCACACGCGGUGAAUCGUGCGCGCCUGGCUGCGCGUCACGCGUCUGCGAGGCCGUACGCGCCUGUCCUACGCGUCUAGAGAGGGCAGACGCGCAGGAAACGCGCGCGUCAAGGAGGUCUUGAUCUUGGGCGUCAUUUUGAGCGUACGCGACGGAAGUGGCAGCUUGUGCACUGACGUCCCGUGGGCCGCAUGUACACUUCCGGUGGUUCAGAAAGGUUGUUGAAGUUUCAGAAUCGUGCGGAGACGCCGGGAGUCGCUGCUGGUUUCGUGUCGAUAGAGCACAGAGUCUAUGGAGGCGAUCAACAACGAAUCACUGAUCGCCUGCGUUGAGGCUCGACCUGCGCUUUGGUAGCAGGCGAAACACAAGCGCCACUAGAACAAGCACUUGACGAGGUGGUCGUGGAUCGUCAUACCCAACGCUGCCGAACAGAUGACGUUAUCACAGCGCUGCAGAAGUGAUGGAUGUCCCUGGGGAAUAAAUUUCGGCGCCUGGGAAGACGUUUCAGAAAGAAAAGAGCCGCGCCGUGCCAGUCGACGUUCACGACGACGUCAUCUGGCUGUUUUUCGACCAGAUGAUGUUUCUGCGCUACACAAUGGAGUGUAGACCGAGCAACACAUGGUAUUACAGAAAUAUCUGCAAGGAUGGAACCGUCAAGUGUUUUGACUGUUUCACAGCACUCGGCAUAUAAUGAUGCAGCAAUUCCAUGGUCUUGGUGGCAGCAGCAUAGGACCCGCAACACGGCGCAUUUUAGGAAUUUUACUAAGCCAAGAAGUGGCUGAGCAGUACAGUUAGCUUGGCAAAAAAGAAAAGUUUUUCUGCACUGCAAGUGGCUGAAACAAUAACAAGGAAGGCAUUGGCUGCCUGAUUGUUUCUUUUGUCUUAAAAAGAAACUUGGUAGAAUAAUUUCCUUUCUCGCUAUAAAAAGUUAGACUUGUACGGGUUUACAAACUUCGUAAAUGUCAAGCUGAGGAGUCUUAAACCAGCUGAACCAUGUACUAUUGUACUUGGGCAAGCUAAGGUGGCUAAUAUGUAAUUUCCUGUUGUUUCUGGAUACUGUUAAUGUUUUGCUUUGAGCUUGUAUAUAGACAAUGUUGCAUAAGUAAUUUCCAAUGCAUCUUUGAGGGGCUGUAAGACAAAAUUUUCCUACAUCAAAAAGAAGCGAUGUCGAGAGUGUAAUGAAGGUGUGGCUGCGCCACUCUGACGAAAAACUGCGAAAACAGCUGGCCAAGGCUGCCACAUAUGAAGGCUCGCUGGAUGUGCUCUCAGAUUUCUCGGAUUAAAUGCCUCAAAGUUCAAGUACAGAGCCCAAUUUCAAGAGGAUUUAAUUUGUUCAAGAAUUAUUGCUGGCCUUGGCAAGGGCCAGCAGAGUCAUUCAUAAUAUUCUAGUCAGGAAACUGCAUAUCGUUGAAGAAAUGUUGACUU
Dermacentor albipictus is the source of this 1433-nucleotide long non-coding RNA. RefSeq lists it as uncharacterized. Lineage: Eukaryota; Metazoa; Arthropoda; Arachnida; Ixodida; Ixodidae. The record is from RefSeq and is a predicted model, not a curated record.